CCAGACGGAAGCUGGUGGGCAUGUGACACCCGGGCACUGACGAGGGCGGGGAGUGAUCGCCGGUGCAAGAAGCAUGGUGCAGGGGGCACGGACAAGGAGCGGCUCCUGGCAGGCUUCGAGUGGAAGGGGCACAUGGACGAAUCGAACAUACACCGAGAACUCCAUGGUUAAGCGUGCUUAGCCUGGAGAAAUUCUGGGAUGGGUGACCUUCCGGGAAGUUUUCCCGGAAAGUGUGCGAGUGAGGACAAAGCACCCUGGAAAGUCUCGUGGUGAUGUGUGGGGGCAGUCAACAGUCCCUGUAAGUUGCCGGGGCGUUACAA
Molecule: long non-coding RNA, 320 nt
Filed under: Vigna radiata
Lineage: Eukaryota; Viridiplantae; Streptophyta; Magnoliopsida; Fabales; Fabaceae
Description: long non-coding RNA (VRAD_LNC017574)
Source: RNAcentral